GACGAACGCUGGCGGCGUGCCUAAUACAUGCAAGUCGAGCGCAGGAAACUGACGGAACUCUUCGGAGGAAAGGCAGCGGAAUGAGCGGCGGACGGGUGAGUAACACGUAAGGAACCUGCCUCAAGGAUUGGGAUAACUCCGAGAAAUCGGAGCUAAUACCGAAUAGUUCAACGGACCGCAUGGUCCGCUGAUGAAAGGCGCUCCGGCGUCACCUUGAGAUGGCCUUGCGGUGCAUUAGCUAGUUGGUGGGGUAACGGCCCACCAAGGCGACGAUGCAGAGCCGGCCUGGGAGGGGGAUCGGCCACACUGGGACUGAGACACGGCCCAGACUCCUACGGGAGGCAGCAGUAGGGAAUCUUCCACAAUGGACGAAAGUCUGAUGGAGCAACGCCGCGUGAGUGAUGAAGGUUUUCGGAUCGUAAAACUCUGUUGUAAGGGAAGAACACGUACGAGAGGGAAUGCUCGUACCUUGACGGUACCUUACGAGAAAGCCACGGCUAACUACGUGCCAGCAGCCGCCGUAA
Molecule: ribosomal RNA, 524 nt
Filed under: uncultured bacterium
Lineage: Bacteria
Description: partial 16S ribosomal RNA
Rfam family: Bacterial small subunit ribosomal RNA
Source: RNAcentral